RNAcentral lists this ribosomal RNA (301 nucleotides) under uncultured bacterium. RNAcentral describes it as "partial 16S ribosomal RNA". It matches the Rfam family "Bacterial small subunit ribosomal RNA", at positions 509 to 809 of the family's 1533-position model. The record is from RNAcentral.
CAGCCGCCACGGGAAUACGAAGGGUGCAAGCGUUACUCGGAAUUACUGGGCGUAAAGCGUGCGUAGGUGGUGGUUUAAGUCCGUUGUGAAAGCCCUGGGCUCAACCUGGGAAUUGCAGUGGAUACUGGGUCACUAGAGUGUGGUAGAGGAUAGUGGAAUUUCCGGUGUAGCAGUGAAAUGCGUAGAGAUCGGAAGGAACAUCUGUGGCGAAGGCGACUAUCUGGGCCAACACUGACACUGAGGCACGAAAGCGUGGGGAGCAAACAGGAUUAGAUACCCCCGUAGUCCCUGUCUCUUAUAA